UACCCGUACCGUAAACCGACACAGGUGGAUGAGGAGAGAAUCCUAAGGCCGACGGGAGAAGCAUUGUUAAGGAACUCGGCAAAAUGACUCCGUAACUUCGGGAGAAGGAGUGCCAGUGAGAGCUGGCCGCAGAGAAUUGGCCCAAGCAACUGUUUAGCAAAAACACAGGUCUAUGCAAAACCGAAAGGUGAAGUAUAUGGGCUGACGCCUGCCCGGUGCUGGAAGGUUAAGGGGAGAGGUUAGCGGUAACGCGAAGCUUUGAACUUAAGCCCCAGUAAACGGCGGCCGUAACUAUAACGGUCCUAAGGUAGCGAAAUUCCUUGUCGGGUAAGUUCCGACCCGCACGAAAGGCGUAAUGAUUUGGGCACUGUCUCAACAAUGCACCCGGUGAAAUUGAAAUACCAGUGAAGAUGCUGGUUACCUGCGCCAGGACGGAAAGACCCCAUGGAGCUUUACUCCAGCUUGAUACUGGGAUUCGAUAUUGCAUGUACAGGAUAGGUGGGAGACUGAGAACUGAUGACGCCAGUUGUCAGGGAGUCACUGUUGGGAUACCACCCUUGUAGUAUUGGAUUUCUAACCAGCAGCCGUGAACCGGCUGGGGGACAAUGUCAGGUGGGGAGUUUGACUGGGGCGGUCGCCUCCGAAAGGGUAUCGGAGGCGCUCAAAGGUUCCCUCAGAAUGGUUGGAAACCAUUCGAAGAGUGCAAAGGCAGAAGGGAGCUUGACUGCGACACCGACGGGUGGAGCAGGUACGAAAGUAGGACUUAGUGAUCCGGUGGUAUAAAGUGGGAUUGCCAUCGCUCAACGGAUAAAAGCUACCCUGGGGAUAACAGGCUUAUCACUCCCAAGAGUUCACAUCGACGGAGUGGUUUGGCACCUCGAUGUCGGCUCAUCGCAUCCUGGGGCUGAAGUAGGUCCCAAGGGUUGGGCUGUUCGCCCAUUAAAGCGGUACGCGAGCUGGGUUCAGAACGUCGUGAGACAGUUCGGUCCCUAUC
RNAcentral lists this ribosomal RNA (994 nucleotides) under human gut metagenome. RNAcentral's name for it is "bacterial LSU rRNA". It matches the Rfam family "Bacterial large subunit ribosomal RNA", at positions 1639 to 2642 of the family's 2925-position model. The record is from RNAcentral.